GGUCGCAUGGUGUAGUUGGUUAUCACGUCAGUCUAACAGUUGUUGAGCACUGAAGGUGAGUUGUCAAACCUAUCAAUAUCUGAAACAAUACUAAUAGCGAACAGGUCCCAGGUUCGAGCCCUGGUGCGAUCA
This is a non-coding RNA of Lepidopterella palustris CBS 459.81, 132 nucleotides long. Lineage: Eukaryota; Fungi; Ascomycota; Dothideomycetes; Mytilinidiales; Argynnaceae. The record is from the annotation of a GenBank genome assembly.